GGGGACUUUUGUGGAGCUGAAAUUUAUGGUGUCGAUGAGAGCCGCCUUCCUUAAAUUACUCCAGUGGUGAUUUCAGAUUGAAUUGGAGUCACAUCCCGGGAAUAAUUCAUCCCCCGAUCUCAACCCGCAUUGGAGUCAACAGCGCACGGCACACAUUGAGCUAGCUGCUUUAUUGUUGGAAUUCCAUAAUCUACGAGGCACUCUCAGUCAUGAAGUAGCUCAUUAUUAAAAUAUAAUAUUACGUUC
Molecule: long non-coding RNA, 246 nt
Organism: Lontra canadensis (Northern American river otter)
Lineage: Eukaryota; Metazoa; Chordata; Mammalia; Carnivora; Mustelidae
Exons: 2
Source: RefSeq, a predicted model, not a curated record